ACCAAAUCACCCGCGAGUCUCGCCCCACUCCACCCCAGCCGCCAAACGAACCCUAACCCCUUUCUCUUUCCCCUCGAUCACCACGAGCUCCCUCUCCACCUCCCAAUGCAUACUUUCCUCGCCCGCAGCCAUCGGCUUUGUCUCUCCACCCGCCUCCUCCUCUCCUCUACACGGUGGUCGAUCUCAUCCCUGGCCUUCUUCUCUGCUUGCCUCCUCCUGUCCUCUUCCAUGUCGCCGUCGAUCCAGAUCGGACGUACAUCGUCGUGGGAGAGCAGCGGCGGCUGGGUCUUCAUGGUGCGGGUGAGGAUGUAGGGGAGGGGUAGGAUGCAGACGACAAGGAGAAGGAGGAGGCCGGCGAGGAAGGGAAGCAGCAGCGGGGAAGGAGCAGGAGCGCGAUCCUAGCAGGGGGAAGGGGCAGGGUGAGGCCUCGCCGGCAGGUUGACUUGUCGCGCCACCACGUCGUCGCCUCCUCUGCGCCAUGAGAGGCGCCACCUCUGCCUCCACCCCCACUGGGAAAGGAGCUCGAGGUGAACAGGAGGUGUGGAAAGGCGAGAGGAAGCAGGAGCUCGUCCCUCCUCCCAUGGCUGCCUCGUGGAUCUGGAGUACAAGGAGGACAACACGUGCCUGUUGCAGGCGGCUUGAGCGACGCGAACCAGGCUCACUGAUGGAGCAUGCCUAAUCUUGGACUGCAUUUAUUGCCUGGUGUUGGGUGCUUUGGAUGGUGGUCUUGAUAUUCCGCACAGUGACAAGAGAUUUGGUGGCUUCAAGAAGGAUGAGAAGCAGCUGGACACUAAGAUUCACCUCAAAUUCAUUUAUGAAGAUCAUGUUGUUGACUGCAUGAAGCUGAUGAGGAGCCUGAGAAAUGCCAAUUUCACUUUAGUGGGUACAUCAAGAAGGGGAUUGCGGCUGAUGACAUGGAAGCACUGUACAAGAAGGUUCAUGCUGCCAUUUGUGCUGAUCCUACCAUGGCAAAAUCAACCAAGGAACCUCCGAAGAAGCACAAGAGGUAUAAUCUCAAGAAGCGUUGAGGUAGGUGACACAACUUGCCAUGUAUGUGAUGUUGCAACUCAAAAUUAAGAUGUUGUCAAUCCAAUAAGAGAAGCCAAGGAGCUAUUGGCGAUCGUGUGGUGCGCGACCUUAUACUGGAUCAUGAAGUUUACCAGUAUGUAGUAAUGGCUAGGAUGAAUUAAGGAAUGGUUGCCAUUUCAUGGUACAGCUGAGCUGACGUUGAGUAUAUGUUUCAAAAUGUAUCCAAGAUUGCAGGAAGUUAAUUACACCAUCAGUGGAAGAUGGACAUAGCCCCUCAGAAUUGGACCCAUGGAAGCAUGAGGAACUGGUCCGCAACGUCUUCCAGUGUACGCGUACACACAAUUCGCUUUCCUUUUCUUUUCAAACUUUUUAUAGAUGAUGUGGUUGAGUUACUAAGCCUCUUCUUGCUGUGUCGUCUGCGAGGCCGAAGGGUGUGAGCAAUUUAACUGAGGCUGAUGCAAUCUUUGGACCAGUAGUGACGCCAGUGCCUGUAUAUCCCAUGACUGGUUCUUUCAGCUCAAUAUCCAUACACUACUUGUUUGUAUUCUGUAUUCCAGUGCAAAUUAUGAUUGUUGCUAAACACUUCUGCAUGUAAGUGCACUACUCUCUGUACUAAAAAAAUGUCACUUCACUACCACAAUGCUAGCAUGCAUUCUUUUUUACAAUUGUUCAUCUUCUUUCUCCUCUGUUCGUCACUAAGAUUCAUCUAUGACCUCCUCUUUGAGGAGAUCAACUAAUCUUGUUGCAGUUUUUGUUGAAACAUUGAUUAGGUGCUCCAAGAAUGUAUGUGAGCUUGACAUUGUAUUUAACUUCAUCAAGAUGAUGUGGUUGAGUUACGAAGCCUCUUAUUGCAGUGUUGUCUGCAAGGCCGAAGGGAAGUUAUUAAUGCAUUUGAGCUGCUCUAUCUGAUUGCUCAUCUCCUGAACCUGUUUUAGUUGAUAUAAAAGUGUUCUCUAUUUCAGAAAGCCAGAACACGAGAUUGUGCCCCCUCUUGCUCCAGGCUAUUCCUCAUGUUGCAACCUUUUCCCAUAGAAUUGAAAGGAAGAUGGAAGAAAUUGCAGGAGGAAUGGUGUUUCCAGCAUGACAUUCAAAACCAGUCAAGACUAUAAAGGGGCUGUGAAGGACGAAAUGCUAUGGAUCCAGAGUGGGAGGGGAGAGUUACCAACAAUGUAUCAAGGAUAAACCGUGACAUGGAUUCCUAAGUUCCAACUUACAUAGCAAAAUUAUAUAGGGAGAAUGCCUACAUUUUGAAAACUCUAUUACAUAGUUUGAAGCUAUGUUUCUUUCAAUUUUCAUUAUUAAAAGGAUCCUUCUUAUUGCUAAUUUGUCAAGCAUCUAUUGUCGAAUAACUCUUUGCUUCAAAUGAGACCUGUGGCGUUUAUUAUA
Molecule: non-coding RNA, 2415 nt
Organism: Triticum urartu
Lineage: Eukaryota; Viridiplantae; Streptophyta; Magnoliopsida; Poales; Poaceae
Source: RefSeq, a predicted model, not a curated record